AUGAAAAUGCUGGGGAGCUCGUAAGCGGGCUGAGAGUGUGCCAUGAAAGGCACUAACCCAUUAAACCUGUACGGAUAAUUCCGGCGUAGGGAAGUUGUAUAAAUGCGCGA
Molecule: non-coding RNA, 110 nt
Filed under: Candidatus Gottesmaniibacteriota
Lineage: Bacteria
Description: Candidatus Gottesmanbacteria TPP sequence
Rfam family: TPP riboswitch aptamer (THI element)
About the family: Vitamin B(1) in its active form thiamin pyrophosphate (TPP) is an essential coenzyme that is synthesised by coupling of pyrimidine and thiazole moieties in bacteria.
Source: RNAcentral